Molecule: long non-coding RNA, 1073 nt
Filed under: Salmo salar (Atlantic salmon)
Lineage: Eukaryota; Metazoa; Chordata; Actinopteri; Salmoniformes; Salmonidae
Description: lncRNA (ENSSSAG00000110869.1)
Source: RNAcentral
AUAACACAUAGAGUUAGGAGGGGCUAGUCCUCUGUGUGUUCAACCUCUUUGGAAGGUCAGGUUUUCUUUGCGUUUGUGUGUGCUCUUGUCACACAUAAAUCAUUGCUGUGAAUUAACAAUGGGAGUCUCUGUGUGAUCUUUGAUUUAGAAAGACCUGGUAUAUCAACAGUAAUUCCUGCUGGUAAUUUACUGUGCGUUGUGCUAAUGAGAGGUGGAGGAGGUCUGUGAACUGAGAGAUGAAGAGGGGGAGGAGGUCUGUGAACUGAGAGAUGAAGAGGGGGAGGAGGUCUGUGAACUGAGAGAUGAAGACCGGGGAGGAGGUCUGUGAACGGAGAGAUGAAGAGGGGGAGGAGGUCUGUGAACGGAGAUAUUGAGAGGGGGAGGAGGUCUGUGAAUGGAGAGAUGGAGAGAGGGAGGAGGUCUGUGAACGGAGAGAUGAAGAGGGGGAGGAGGUCUGUGAACGGAGAGAUGGAGAGGGGGAGGAGGUCUGUGAAUGGAGAGAUGAAGAGGGGGAGGAGGACUGUGAACGGAGAGAUGGAGAGGGGGAGGAGGUCUGUGAACGGAGAGAUGAAGAGGGGGAGGAGGUCUAUGAACGGAGGGAUGGAGAGGGGGAGGAGGUCUGUGAACUGAGAGAUGAAGAGGGGGAGGAGGUCUGUGAACUGAGAGAUGAAGAGGGGGAGAAGGUCUGUGAACGGAGAGAUGAAGAGGACAUGUAGAACACCUACCUUUAUUGUUUAGCUGGAAUGAAAAACACCAGAUAGAUAGCCUGUUCUCUCUCUCUCUUUAUCUCUCUCUCUCUCCCGCUCUCUCUUUCCCAUCUGACAAUGAAAGUGACUAGAGAACUUUUACUAAUGAUAAAAACGAAACAAUUAACGGUAAUAUGUUUAUUUAUUUAUCAAAAGGUAGAAAGCAUACUGUAUAUUUGAACGAUAAGUUAUAAAAAUGUAGGUACUGUAAUGAUAAAAGAAUUGUAUGGUAAACAAUCAAAACCGUUAACCUUUUUUCACACUGUGUUAAGAACUUAAUAGGAUAGAUGUAGAAAGAUAGAACUCUAUAGGGAUAGAUGUAGAAAG